UUUUUAAAUUGUAUUAAUAUACCAGAUUUUUUGGUUUGUUAGAGAUAUGCUUUAACGCUUACAGGUGUAAUGUUAACUUCGUUUUACUUGUAUUUGCUAACCUGCAUUUUUAUAUGAAAAUGGAUAGGAUCAGAUAAUAUUGAUUGUUUAAGCCUUUUGCUAGGGAAAGUAUAAAGCAAUGUAUGAACUGUCAGAAACAAACCUUUUCGUGCUAUGAUUUGGUGG
RNAcentral lists this long non-coding RNA (225 nucleotides) under Mytilus galloprovincialis (Mediterranean mussel). Lineage: Eukaryota; Metazoa; Mollusca; Bivalvia; Mytilida; Mytilidae. The record is from RNAcentral.